This 774-nucleotide ribosomal RNA is filed under the name uncultured Pelagibacterales bacterium. Its description in RNAcentral is "SSU rRNA". It matches the Rfam family "Bacterial small subunit ribosomal RNA", at positions 90 to 901 of the family's 1533-position model. The record is from RNAcentral. Lineage: Bacteria; Pseudomonadati; Pseudomonadota; Alphaproteobacteria; Candidatus Pelagibacterales.
ACUUAGUGGCAAACGGGUGAGUAUGAUGUGGGUAUCUGCCCUUUGGUAUGGAAUAACACGAGGAAACUUGUGCUAAUACUGUAUAAGCCUUCACAGGGAAAGCUUUAUGCGCCAAAGGAUGAGCCCGCACUUGAUUAGCUAGUUGGUAAGGUAAAAGCUUACCAAGGCAACGAUCAAUAGCUGAUCUGAGAGGAUGAUCAGCCACAUUGGGACUGAGACACGGCCCAAACUCNUACGGGAGGCAGCAGUGGGGAAUCUUGCACAAUGGGGGAAACCCUGAUGCAGCGAUGCCGCGUGAGUGAAGAAGGCCUUUGGGUUGUAAAGCUCUUUCGUCGGGGAAGAAAAUGACUGUACCCGAAUAAGAAGGUCCGGCUAACUUCGUGCCAGCAGCCGCGGUAAUACGAAGGGACCUAGCGUAGUUCGGAAUUACUGGGCUUAAAGAGCUCGUAGGUGGUUAGAAAAGUUAGUGGUGAAAUCCCAAGGCUUAACCUUGGAACUGCCACUAAAACUUUUUAACUAGAGUGUGAUAGAGGUAAGCGGAAUUUCUAGUGUAGAGGUGAAAUUCGUAGAUAUUAGAAAGAACACCAAUUGCGAAGGCAGCUUUCUGGAUCAUUACUGACACUGAGGAGCGAAAGCAUGGGUAGCGAAGAGGAUUAGAUACCCUCGUAGUCCAUGCCGUAAACGAUGUGUGCUAGACGUUGGAAAUUUAUUUUUCAGUGUCGCAGCAAAAGCGUUAAGCACACCGCCUGGGGAGUACGACCGCAAGGUUAAACU